RNAcentral lists this ribosomal RNA (497 nucleotides) under uncultured bacterium. RNAcentral describes it as "partial 16S ribosomal RNA". It matches the Rfam family "Bacterial small subunit ribosomal RNA", at positions 35 to 507 of the family's 1533-position model. The record is from RNAcentral.
GGGGGGGGGGGGGGGGGGGCGGGGGGGGGGCGGGGCGGGCGGGGGGACGGGAAGCGGGCUUUGCUGAUGUUAGCGGCGGACGGGGGAGUAACACGUGGAUAACCUACCUGUAAGACUGGGAUAACUUCGGGAAACCGGAGCUAAUACCGGAUAAUAUUUUGAACCGCAUGGUUCAAAAGUGAAAGACGGUCUUGCUGUCACUUAUAGAUGGAUCCGCGCUGCAUUAGCUAGUUGGUAAGGUAACGGCUUACCAAGGCAACGAUGCAUAGCCGACCUGAGAGGGUGAUCGGCCACACUGGAACUGAGACACGGUCCAGACUCCUACGGGAGGCAGCAGUAGGGAAUCUUCCGCAAUGGGCGAAAGCCUGACGGAGCAACGCCGCGUGAGUGAUGAAGGUCUUCGGAUCGUAAAACUCUGUUAUUAGGGAAGAACAUAUGUGUAAGUAACUGUGCACAUCUUGACGGUACCUAAUCAGAAAGCCACGGCUAACUACGUG